This 886-nucleotide ribosomal RNA is filed under the name uncultured bacterium. RNAcentral describes it as "bacterial SSU rRNA". It matches the Rfam family "Bacterial small subunit ribosomal RNA", at positions 8 to 916 of the family's 1533-position model. The record is from RNAcentral.
AGAGUUUGAUCCUGGCUCAGGAUGAACGCUGGCGGCGCGCCUAACACAUGCAAGUCGAACGGCACCUAUCUUCGGAUAGAAGCGAGUGGCGAACGGCUGAGUAACACGUGGAGAACCUGCCCCCUCCCCCGGGAUAGCCGCCCGAAAGGACGGGUAAUACCGGAUACCCCCGGGUGCCGCAUGGCGCCCGGGCUAAAGCCCCGACGGGAGGGGAUGGCUCCGCGGCCCAUCAGGUAGACGGCGGGGUGACGGCCCACCGUGCCGACAACGGGUAGCCGGGUUGAGAGACCGACCGGCCAGAUUGGGACUGAGACACGGCCCAGACUCCUACGGGAGGCAGCAGUGGGGAAUCUUGCGCAAUGGGGGCAACCCUGACGCAGCGACGCCGCGUGCGGGACGGAGGCCUUCGGGUCGUAAACCGCUUUCAGCAGGGAAGAGACGAGACUGUACCUGCAGAAGAAGCCCCGGCUAACUACGUGCCAGCAGCCGCGGUAAUACGUAGGGGGCGAGCGUUAUCCGGAUUCAUUGGGCGUAAAGCGCGCGUAGGCGGCCCGGCAGGCCGGGGGUCGAAGCGGGGGGCUCAACCCCCCGAAGCCCCCGGAACCUCCGCGGCUUGGGUCCGGUAGGGGAGGGUGGAACACCCGGUGUAGCGGUGGAAUGCGCAGAUAUCGGGUGGAACACCGGUGGCGAAGGCGGCCCUCUGGGCCGAGACCGACGCUGAGGCGCGAAAGCUGGGGGAGCGAACAGGAUUAGAUGCCCUGGUAGUCCCAGCCGUAAACGAUGGACGCUAGGUGUGGGGGGACGAUCCCCCCGUGCCGCAGCCAACGCAUUAAGCGUCCCGCCUGGGGAGUACGGCCGCAAGGCUAAAACUCAAAGGAAUUGACGG